Molecule: ribosomal RNA, 270 nt
Filed under: uncultured archaeon
Lineage: Archaea
Description: partial 16S ribosomal RNA
Rfam family: Archaeal small subunit ribosomal RNA
Source: RNAcentral
CUGCAGCUCAAGUGGUGACCGCUAUUAUUGGGCCUAAAACGUCCGUAGCCUGUUUAGUAAAUGCCUGGGUAAAUCGUGUAGCUUAACUAUACGAAUUCCGGGUAGACUGCUAAACUUGAGACCGGGAGAGGCUAGAGGUACUCCUGGGGUAGAGGUGAAAUUCUGUAAUCCUAGGGGGACCACCAGUGGCGAAGGCGUCUAGCUAGAACGGGUCUGACGGUGAGGGACGAAGCCCUGGGGCACAAACCGGAUUAGAUACCCGAGUAGUCC